AUUUUAACCAUCAGUUUACACAUACUUCUCUCCUGUGAGACUGUGAAUUCUUCAAAAGCAGGUACUGUGUUUAAUGAAGUGUGCCCAGGACUUUGCUCAGUGACUGGAUGACACAGUAGGAGUAACAAGAAAGUUCACAUGGGUGAACCGUGGUAGGUGGACAUCGUCUCUCUCACCUCUUCCCAAAUCAAGGAUGAAGUACAUCUUCAUAAAUCCUCAUGUGAAUUAUUUUGCUACCUCUAGAAGCAUUUUCUAAAACAAGGUGCAGCAAUCAGUUGAGUGAAUUUGUCACCAGAGCUUAUGUUUUCUGAAAGAACCCUAUCCUCAGGCAGUUGUUCCUAAGAGGUGAGUUGUGGAUUUAGUUCACAUACCUUCCUUCGUGGCUUAAAAUGCUCCACAUGCCUGUCUCCCCAACAGCAUCAGAUCACCAUGCAGUAAAAUACCAAGUCAGAACAGCCAAUGCUGAAAAGAGUGACAGUUUCCUUUCAUGAUGCAAUGCACUUGGAGCCAGGGGACAGGGAGACAAUAACUGCAAGGAGAAGUGAUGACAACCCUACUUUAAUAUAGUAGUUCCUUUUGAAUUUUAUAGACUUACCCGUUAAUCUCUAGAAUUUUGAAAAAAUUCCUUAAGUGAUGUGAGCAAAUAACACUUUGCCUUGGGUUAGCCUUUUCCUUUCCCUUGAAGAUUCCACAAAUAUGUCAGCGCUGGAAAUGAUCCUUUGGCUUUGAACUAUGUGAAGACUGCAGAAGGACUGGUUGGUAAGCACCCACAUCCUGGGGUGAGAAUCACAUCCAGUUUAUACCUCCCUGUGCACACUUGUAUAAAACAACUAUAAGACACACGAGAGAUCUGGAAGCCAGUUCCUCAUAAGUAAGAAUUGGUCAGGCUGCAUUUGUAUCCUGGGUCCACAAGACAUCGUUUCCUUAAAACCAAUCCCCCUGAUUUUGCUAAGUGUCUGCAAGCCUAAUAUUUCAUGGAUGUUUGACAAGGACCCCGUCUUUAGCUGAACUAAGGAGAAAGUCCUGCAACACACACAUGGAGCUCAGCAAACGGAGGAUGUAGACCCCACUGGAAAUCGGACUGUUCAACUCACCU
Molecule: long non-coding RNA, 1096 nt
Filed under: Homo sapiens (human)
Lineage: Eukaryota; Metazoa; Chordata; Mammalia; Primates; Hominidae
Description: HSALNT0364423
Source: RNAcentral